GACAAGACUUUCUUGAGCACAAGGUCACCUUCUCGGAACACACGAGGCUUGACCUUCUUAUCAAAUGCUUUUUCACUCUCUGCUGAUAUGACUGACCAUGACACAUGGCAGUUGAUCUCUUCUUUUCGAUCGAAUUCAGCAUCAGUCAACUUGGGACUUUGAGGGUGCUAUUUUCUUUUAUUUCUUUCUUUCUUUUUCUUUCUUUUGAUUU
Molecule: long non-coding RNA, 211 nt
Filed under: Lathyrus oleraceus (garden pea)
Lineage: Eukaryota; Viridiplantae; Streptophyta; Magnoliopsida; Fabales; Fabaceae
Description: Pisum sativum (pea) long non-coding RNA (PSAT_LNC015977)
Source: RNAcentral